CGCUGGAGAUCUAGCUUGCUAGAUCGAAGGAGUGGCGAACGGGUGAGUAAUACAUAAGCAACCUACCCACGAAGACUGGGAUAAUCUCUGGAAACGGGGACUAAUACCGGAUAGGUAAUCGGAAGGCAUCUUCUGAUUAUUAAAGGUUAAAAACACUGGUGGAUGGGCUUAUGGCGCAUUAGUUAGUUGGUGAGGUAACGGCCCACCAAGACGAUGAUGCGUAGCCGGCCUGAGAGGGUGAACGGCCACAUUGGGACUGAGACACGGCCCAGACUCCUACGGGAGGCAGCAGUAGGGAAUUUUCGGCAAUGGGGGAAACCCUGACCGAGCAACGCCGCGUGAGUGAUGACGGCCUUCGGGUUGUAAAGCUCUGUUGUAAGGGAAGAACGGUAGAUAGAGAAUAUCUAAGUGACGGUACCUUACCAGAAAGCCACGGCUAACUACGUGCCAGCAGCCGCGGUAAUACGUAGGUGGCGAGCGUUAUCCGGAAUUAUUGGGCGUAAAGGGUGCGUAGGCGGCCUGUUAAGUAAGUGGUUAAAUUGUUGGGCUCAACCCAAUCCAGCCACUUAAACUGGCAGGCUAGAGUAUUGGAGAGGCAAGUGGAAUUCCAUGUGUAGCGGUAAAAUGCGUAGAUAUAUGGAGGAACACCAGUGGCGAAGGCGGCUUGCUAGCCAAAGACUGACGCUCAUGCACGAAAGCGUGGGGAGCAAAUAGGAUUAGAUACCCUAGUAGUCCACGCCGUAAACGAUGAAUACUAAGUAUUGGGG
RNAcentral lists this ribosomal RNA (767 nucleotides) under Solobacterium moorei. RNAcentral describes it as "bacterial SSU rRNA". It matches the Rfam family "Bacterial small subunit ribosomal RNA", at positions 67 to 828 of the family's 1533-position model. Lineage: Bacteria; Bacillati; Bacillota; Erysipelotrichia; Erysipelotrichales; Erysipelotrichaceae. The record is from RNAcentral.